UAGUUGCUUUAAAUUCUUGUACUUCAUCAAGCUUUAUAGUGAGAAAUGAUGUGCAUGAAUUUUACAGUAUGGAAUUGUGAACUGUUUGUUUCUCUGUUUCAUUCUUGUAUUUGAAUUGUUCAGAAUGGUCCUCUGUAAUGGUUGAAUGUUCUACACCGAGUAUCUUUGCAAUAUGAAGUUGCAUGCCUAUUUUGUUUAACAAAAUGCCUGCAUGUUCAACUGAUUUUCUUUUUUUUCUUUUUUGCUGAUAAUGCAUCUAGGUCGUAGUUCUCGUAGUGGAGGGACGCCUUUACAUCAUGCAUCAAAACGUGGCCUGGAAAAUACUGUGAUAUACAGUGUGGCCAGCAUCUGAUACAAUUGUAGCAUUCCGCGGCUACUAUCAUCGUAGCUCUGCUGUAGGGAUUGUACUACCAUGAUAGUAGGAUAUUGACUUGGGGGGGGGGGGGGGUGUUAUCACUAUUAUGGAGUACCUUUAGCUUCUUCCUCUACCUCUAUUAUCUUUCACCACGUUUCUUUCGUCUGCAUUUUCUCUGUUAAUUGCAUCUUGUAAAAUUUCCAAAAUAGGCUAAUGUUUUAUCUAUGGAUCAGAGUAUAACUUUUCUCGUAAAAAACAGGUAGCAUCUUGUUUUUGAAUCUCGUACCUUGUAUUAUGUGCCUUGAAAAUUUGGGUAAAUAUUUGGAAUGUUUUGGCAAUGGUUUUUAUCUUAACGUAGAAACCUCUUAAGAAAUCUUAGAUUUGGAAAUGGGAAUGGUCUGUUAAGAUUUUGAGCUGAAGCUUCUCUGUUUAUAGACUCCAAAUGUAUAUAUUAGGAAUUCCACUUAUUGAUACAAUAAUUGUUUGUUCCUUUCAAGGUUGUUUUUCCUGGGAAAAUAUUCAUUCAAUUGAGAAACAAACUUUGUGUUCCUUUUUCAAUGGGAAGGUGGAAAAUCGGACUCCGGAUGUCUACAAGGAGAUACGGACUUGGAUUAUGAAGAGGUUUCAUGCCAAUCCAAGCACAAACAUUGAACUGAAAGAUCUGUCGGAGCUGUCUAUUGGGGAUAUAGAUGCAAGAUGUUGACAAGGCAGAGCAAAUAGACUCUUUAAUUGAAAAGUUUUAUCAGUUACAACAUAAGCAAUCCUCUGUACUAUUAGUUCCAAGAGCCAACGUGUCAACAGCGGCAGUGCCUUCAGGCCUAUUUCCGGAGUCGAUCACAGAAGAGUUGGUAGAACAAGAGGGACCUGCAGUUGAGUAUCAUUGCAACUCUUCUUCUGUUGAUUGUUCUUGCAGUUGAGCAGGUGAUGGGAAGGUCUUCACCAAAUGACAAGCUACAGGCCUAUAAAAGGACAGUCUGCUGGACCAGCGUAGGAGAAGUGCAGACAUCGAGGCUGAUUUUUCGAUGAAAUUGGCUGAUAUGUUAAAAUAGUUCAAUGAAUGCUCUAGUUCUUUGAGUAGGCACAAAGAGAUGGACAGAGAGCUUGAAUUGAAGGUAGAAUCUUAUCAUCAGGAGUUAUGUUUUGCUCGAGAUGAUGCUUCUGCUUCCGAACAACAAUAUUCACCAGAAAUCUCAACCAUUUCUAAACUUGUUGAUUUGUACAAGGAGAGUUCUGAGGAGUGGUCCAAAUUGGAGGGAGUGAUAAAGGCUUUGGAAACCCAUUUAAGUGAAGUGGAAAGUGAUUACAAAGACAAGCUUGAGAAGGAAACUGCCGCUCGGAAGGAGGCGGAAAAGGUGUCUGUAGAGUUGAAGGAAAAACUUGUAAAAUGUGAGGCAGAACUUAAGUCAAGUAGAAGAGCUAACGAGCUGGAUAUUAUCCAUUGAGUAGCUUUACCACUGAAGCCUUGAUGUACACUUCCAACACAAAUGAUAUUGCUGGAGAUAAUGAGAGGAACUCGCUUCCCUUCACCACAAAAACAGAUCAGAUAAUAUUCCACAAGAACAACCAAGAUGGAAGAAGAUAUCCUUUGAUUUUAGUAUUGCUCAAAAGAGUGCAGUCAUACAAAAUAGUAACUUGAGGCUACAACUCUCCAAGAUAGUAACUUUAGGUUACAACUCUCAAAUGACUACACAAAUUACAAGCUACCCUUCUCUUCCUUUUCUUUUCCUAUUUAUACAAGCAGAUGCAAGUACACUUUAAUUAAUGCUAGCUGUUGCUGUUCUUGUCAGGUACUGCCAACAACUUCUGCUCCACCUUCAGCUGCGUUGUUGUGGUUGUUUGCCCUCACUUUGCUGCGCCUGCUAUACACCAAGAUAGGUGGGUCAGGUUUGGUGUAGCCGUUGUGGUCCUUUACAGAUAAUCUAGCAAUGGUACCACAUAUCCCAACAGGUCUUACUUAUGCCAAAUCUCGUCUAGGGGCGACACUUGGCUUGGGUCGACACUAACUAAGAAAUGAAUGCAAAAAACAAGUAAAAAGAAGCACGACACAAGGAGAUGUUGACGCGGAAAACCCAGGAAUAAGGUAAAAAACCGCGGGUAGCUAUGAGGCUAUCAAUCCACUAAGUAUCCUAAAUAAUUUGUAUAAUAGUUUAUGCUUUGUAAGAGUGAAAGAGAA
Spinacia oleracea (spinach) is the source of this 2528-nucleotide long non-coding RNA. RefSeq lists it as uncharacterized. NCBI's taxonomy places the organism in Eukaryota, Viridiplantae, Streptophyta, Magnoliopsida, Caryophyllales, Amaranthaceae. The record is from RefSeq and is a predicted model, not a curated record. The transcript is spliced from 4 exons.